RNAcentral lists this long non-coding RNA (2224 nucleotides) under Musa acuminata (dwarf banana). Its description in RNAcentral is "long non-coding RNA (MACU_LNC000499)". Lineage: Eukaryota; Viridiplantae; Streptophyta; Magnoliopsida; Zingiberales; Musaceae. The record is from RNAcentral.
GCAUCUUUGCUCUGGGUAUCUUUGUCCCUGAAUGAACAAAUAAACGAAUGUGCCUUGAUCAUAAAAUAAAAGAAAGAUAAACCUCAACAUAUGAGUAAAGCAUCACAAAUGACAGUCUAUAAGAAAGUUGCUGCAGGUGAAAUUCUCUGCGUAGCAUGAACCAUGAAGUAAUUUGCUAACUUAAUCAUCAUGGUGAUUAUAAUCAAAAGAUGUUAGGCAAAUCUAUUAUACAAAACUGAAAACAAAUGAGGCCUGCAUUGAUAUGAUUACUAAGUUGACAUAAAGAUGUACAUCACAUUGCAUAUCAACUCAUGAACAACACAAAUUUGAUAUGAAAGAAAAACUGAAUCUGGUUAGCAUCAAAUAAAACUAUGUAGCAAAAUUCCUAUUCAAUAAAGCUAGACAAGGAUGGACAUGAUACAUAGGAAGAACUGUAGAGUUUACUAAUGAUAUAAAGAUAUAUUUUCUGAAUUUCAUCAUUCAAUGACAGCCAAAGCAAUAAUAUACCCCUAGAUUCUAGACCUCUAGAAAUGCACACUUAGAGCAACCAUAGAACUAUUCGCUGCAUCAUGUUCAAUGGGGGAAAUAGAAACAUACUUUCGAUAAGUGUAACAGCAUGAGCUAAUUAUGCAAAUUCUUCAAGUGAUUCAUCAACAGAAAAUGAAUUAUAUAUUCAGUGCCUUUACAUUCAACUCCAACAAAGUAGGCUUCCUCUAGACAAACCUAUAUUCUUAAUAUGAAAAUUCUUUAGUUUUAAAAUGAUGACAAAAUGAUCUAAAUAUCAGUUUGAAAUAUAUUUUGCCAGAAAAGUGCAAAGUGAAAAACACAUAAAUAAAAGAGAAAAACCAAAGGCUAAAGAAAUUGAAAUGUGUCCAAAAAUAUUAUUCAUGAAAGAUCUGUGAUAAAAGAAUAGCUAGGAUGCAAUUCAAGAGUGAGAUAAUGUCUCUUUUUUCUUUCUUAACAAAAAGACUGACAAAAGUCACAAUUCCUAUAUAGUAAUUGUCAAUAAUUCACAAGCAAGGUUACAGAAUGUUAAGAGGCAAGCCAGAAAAGCAAGUAAUAAAUUAGACUUUUCAAUAAUCAAAUUUGAGAAACCAGUAGAGAUAUUCUCUAGUAAAGGGCUAAUAUAAUAGCUUCAACAAAAAAUGAUACUCAAACCUGAUUCUCAAAUUCUAAUAAGUGAAGCAUCAAUGCUCCGGGUCUCUUUGUCCCUGAAUGAACAAAUAAAGAAUGUGCCUUGAUCAUAAAAUAAAAGAAAGAUAAGCCUCAACAUAUGACUAAAGCAUCACAAAUGGCAGUCUAUAAGAAAGCUGUUGCAGGUGAAAUUAUCUGCGAUGUUAGGAAAAUCUAAAGCAUCACAAAUCUAAAACAGUUAACAAAUGCUUGAUUUGUGAUACUUAAUCAUCAUGGUGAUUGUAAUCAAAAGAUGUUUAGCAAAUCUAUUGUACAAAACUGAAAACAAAUGGGGCCUGCACUGAUAUGAUUACCAAUUUGACCAAAAGAAGUACACAUCAUGUUGCAUAUCAACUCAUGAACAACACAAAAUUUGAUAUAAAAGAAAAACUGAAUCUGGUUAGCAUUAAGUAAACUAUGUAGCAAAAUUCCUAAUCAAUAAAGACAUGACAGAUAGGAAGAAUUGUGGAGUUUACUAAUGCACCAAUUUGAGCUCAAUUAAACAGGAAAUACUGGACCUGAAGCCACUUUUGAUUUCAGAUCUGAGAUUAGCUUCUUUAGGUUGAAAAUCUUCAAGCCAAACUAACUAGAAUGGUCAAAACCACACAACUGGGCCAAAAUAAGCAUGUCAAUUAAAUGACUCAAAAAAACAAUCACUUAAAUGUUUCAACUGGAAUUAUCAUCUCAAUUUAAACCUUUUACAUAUAUGAUAUUAGGAAUUAAAAUCAAUAAUCACAACAGCGGCUGAAAGCUUAUUCUCCUUAAAUAAAUAGGGAAGGUGGCAUGAAGAAAUACCAAUUCAGAGGUCAGUUUUAUACUCACAAGUAGCAGAUUCAAACUAUAGCACGUGGAUGCUGAAACUCGUGAUAGAUGACUACAACAGCAUAAUUCAAAAUACUGAAACAAUAACCAUGUCAUUAGUUGGUGAGCAUUUGUAUGAAACUUAGCAAGCUUCUCUAACAAUCUCAUGAAGAUUGCUACUAGUCUGCUACAAUGCAACAGCUAAUCAGCAAGAAAAAUCCUGCAGACCGAAAUAAUCACAAAUUAGAAC